CCUGGGUAGAGCGGAGCCUGCAGGUCUGGCCACCACGUGGAUUCAGCUUAGGGAGGAGAGGGGUGCAAAGUCUGGGCACCAGGUUUCAGCUUGGGCUGCCUGGGCGUGUUUGUGAGAAUCUGGAGCAGCUGGGGAGAGAAGCCCUGAACGACUCAGAAGGCAUGGCUUUCCCCGUGGUCAAUCAACACGGCAUGCGCUAGCAUGCGGAAUCCCGAGCGAGGGAUCCAAGAAUAAUUCAUCAUGUCAGUUGAGUGAAGGGGAGUCUGAAGAUCUACAGAGGGGGAGACCACAAGACAAAGGAGCCUUAGUCCACACAUGACCACAUAGAAAGCCACUGGAGCGGGAACUGCCUCACUGGGGUAGAAUGUGACUGAACCAGAUGAAUUUUGAAUGUCUCCAUGAUACCUUAAGACCUCUUUUGCUCACCUCCAUCCUGAAAGCUCCUUUCCUCCUUAUGUGUGUAAAGCCUGCAUUUCUUAGAGAUCCACACCCU
Molecule: long non-coding RNA, 493 nt
Organism: Hipposideros armiger (great roundleaf bat)
Lineage: Eukaryota; Metazoa; Chordata; Mammalia; Chiroptera; Hipposideridae
Exons: 4
Source: RefSeq, a predicted model, not a curated record